CCUACGGGGUGCAGCAGUGGGGAAUAUUGGACAAUGGGGGGAACCCUGAUCCAGCGACGCCGCGUGAGUGAAGAAGUAUUUCGGUAUGUAAAGCUCUAUCAGCAGGGAAGAAAGAAAUGACGGUACCUGACCAAGAAGCCCCGGCUAACUACGUGCCAGCAGCCGCGGUAAUACGUAGGGGGCAAGCGUUAUCCGGAUUUACUGGGUGUAAAGGGAGCGUAGACGGCAGGGCAAGUCUGGAGUGAAAGGCAGGGGCCCAACCCCUGGACUGCUCUGGAAACUGUCCGGCUGGAGUACAGGAGAGGUAAGUGGAAUUCCUAGUGUAGCGGUGAAAUGCGUAGAUAUUAGGAGGAACACCAGUGGCGAAGGCGGCUUACUGGACUGUAACUGACGUUGAGGCUCGAAAGCGUGGGGAGCAAACAGGAUUAGAUACCCGAGUAGUC
Molecule: ribosomal RNA, 443 nt
Filed under: uncultured bacterium
Lineage: Bacteria
Description: partial 16S ribosomal RNA
Rfam family: Bacterial small subunit ribosomal RNA
Source: RNAcentral